UACGUAGGGUGCGAGCGUUUGUCCGGAAUUAUUGGGCGUAAAGGGCUCGUAGGCGGUCUGUCACGUCGAAAGUGAAAACUCAGGGCUUAACCCUGAGCCUGCUUCCGAUACGGGCAGACUAGAGGUAUGCAGGGGAGAAUGGAAUUCCCGGUGUAGCGGUGAAAUGCGUAGAGAUCGGGAGGAACACCAGAGGCGAAGGCGGCGACCUGGACAGUGACUGACACUGAACUACGAAAGCGUGGGGAGCAAACAGG
RNAcentral lists this ribosomal RNA (254 nucleotides) under uncultured bacterium. RNAcentral's name for it is "partial 16S ribosomal RNA". It matches the Rfam family "Bacterial small subunit ribosomal RNA", at positions 524 to 776 of the family's 1533-position model. The record is from RNAcentral.